CCUACGGGUGGCAGCAGUGGGGGAUAUUGCACAAUGGGGGGAACCCUGAUGCAGCGACGCCGCGUGGGUGAAGGAGCGUUUCGGCGCGUAAAGCCCUAUCGGCAGGGAAGAAGGAGGACGGUACCUGACUAAGAAGCCCCGGCUAACUACGUGCCAGCAGCCGCGGUAAUACGUAGGGGGCAAGCGUUAUCCGGAUUUACUGGGUGUAAAGGGGGCGCAGACGGCUGGGCAAGUCUGAAGUGAAAGCCCAGGGCCCAACCCUGGGACUGCUUUGGAAACUGUGGGGCUAGAGUGCUGGAGAGGUAAGUGGAAUUCCUAGUGUAGCGGUGAAAUGCGUAGAUAUUAGGAGGAACACCAGUGGCGAAGGCGGCUUACUGGACAGUAACUGACGUUGAGGCUCGAAAGCGUGGGGAGCAAACAGGAUUAGAUACCCCAGUAGUC
RNAcentral lists this ribosomal RNA (441 nucleotides) under uncultured bacterium. Its description in RNAcentral is "partial 16S ribosomal RNA". It matches the Rfam family "Bacterial small subunit ribosomal RNA", at positions 338 to 795 of the family's 1533-position model. The record is from RNAcentral.